AGUUAGCUAUGGGCUACAACAUUGUUGUAGUCUACUUAUGUGGCUAUUUUGAAAGGUUGAACCCCUUAACUAUGCAGAAUUAUCUGUUAGUAGUUCCUGAACGCAACGCACUCAUGGACGCACACACAGAUAUUAAUGAGUUACUUUAAAAAUGAUGAUUAUCAGGCGAGAUUUGGAGUUUAAAGAAGCGUCUUUUUUUUCUGGGAUUUCCGGACGAGUGUUGCGAUGAACAUCAAAGGUGUCCAUUGAAAUGCAGCUGAAAGAGCUUCCUGUCCACAUUCUGGCGGGUACCGAGCCAGUGAAUGGUCCAUGUAAAUGUCAGGACGCCUUGCAAGAUGGCUUUUUUGUUCCAUCGGAGGAGGUUCGGAAAGGUGUGAACCAUUAUUUCACCCCAUAAAGUGGAGAUUUGUCAGGGUUCACCAGGCAUUUCGACGCUCUUUCCCCCUCCUCAAAGCCGGAGACAAAACCCCAUCGUACACUUUCAAAAACAACCUCCUUAGUUAACGACUUUCCCUCCCAAUUAGUCUUGAAGGCACAAAUAACAGCCAAUACUGAUAUUACCUGCUCUCUCCCAUAUCCAUAUUUGAACUUUUACUUGCUCGCAACAGGUCGAUGUCAUUAAUUUCCCAGUUAAUUAUCUUAUCUUAUUUACCAUAAAUAUUAACUGAACGAGUGAGGGGUUUUGCCGAGCUGGUCCCAGUGCUCUUACUCACACUUCUAAUUAAAACUCAUCUAAACGUCAUUAUUUUUGCCACAACUUAUUCAUGUAAACCAGUUUUUAAUCACCAACACUGACACUUCAACUCAUGGGUUGGAUUAGUCAGUGUGGGGGGCGAGGGGGUAAAAUAAACCCACCUGACCAAACCCCACACAAACUAUAUAUAAAAUGAAAUUACAAUUAAAGCUUAGUGAACACAUUAAAUAGCACUUUAAGGCUAAAGCCAGGCUUUGAAGCAACAUUGCACAGUGUGUGUUUAAAUAGUCACAGAACAUGGAAAUUAAUAAAUAUCAUUGGAGGCAAACGAGGAGAUAAAUUUGAUGCGUGCGGAACAGAAAUUAUAUUUAAAAAAGAAAUGGAGGAAGAUGACGCCAUCGCCCUCACACUUUUCAAUUAGUGUGCAGGCAGACACCUCAGCAUCACCGGCCUAAACCCUCCAGAGGAAAAAAAGAAAAAGAAAAGGAGCAUUAGCAGUCAUAUGCCAACCAGAUUUGUCCCAUUAUUCAUUACAAUUAAUUGCUUCUCCGUACUGCCGGCCUUUCCCAGGAAGGACAACUCCUCCGCCGCUGCAGACCAUAAUAUGAACGAAGGACUUAAAGCUGCCAUUCAAAUCUCACCGUGACCUUUCGGGAGAAAAGGCUGUUCUUCACGCUGUUUGCAGGAAGCAGACUGGAUGCAGUUUAGUGAGUGUGUGUGUGUGUGUGUGUGUGUGUGUGUGUGUGUGUGUGUGUGUGUGUGUGUGUGUGUGUGUGUGUGCGUGCGAGAAUGUACUUCUAUACUUGUGAGAACCAAUCUGAGCGAGGGUGUUUUUCCCAGGUGUAACCCGACCCACCAGGUAACACUUUGCAUCAUCCUACUUAAGGAAUACACCGUUUAACGUACAGUAGCUGGUUUUCACGCUAAACAAUAGGAGGUCAGCGGCGAGGCACGAGAUUGGGUUUCAAUUCGAGAGAAAGAUAUGACUGAAGUCGACUAAGUAGCUGCUCAUAAGCUUUGCCUUGAUUCCUCAGUGAUUUGACAACAACAACACAUUUAAAAUCAAGUAAAUAACGACUCUUUCAUACAAUAAACACGUCACGUCUCUGGUUAUGACGCCAGCUAUGAAUGAUGCUCACAUAAGAAACACAAAAACCACAAUAAAGCUUUGCAAGCAACCAGAUACAUUUAAUAAGAUAAUUGCUUCUUUUUUUUUUUUACCUGAAGACUCUCAGUAUUUGUACAGGUUAUGCAACAUGAGUCUCUUUGAGUUGGGAUGAAGAUGAAAUUUCAUCUGCGGGAGACAAUCAAACAUAGGGAUCUGGAUUUAAGUCAUGCAGCCCACGAGCCAUUCUUGACGAGCAGUUUUAAGGGUCCUCGACGUGGAGGUAGCUGAACCACACACACACACACACACACUCACUCUUCAGGAAGUUACAGUAACAGUUCAUGGGAGGAAACCUUGUGGGAUUGUUUACUGUUCCAUGUAGAUAAAUCAGUUAGUGGUGAAUAUAAAGCAUAAUAUAAAGGCAGCACACGCUUACAAACACACACACACACACACACACAUACUAUAAAACCUUUAACAGGAGGUCUGUAUUGGUGAUGAGGGAGGACCUGUUUUUUUAUCACACAAAAUACGAUAAAGAAAGUCCAGUUUGAAGGCUUCUCAGAUGCCAAAACACUUCACAAUACUUUAAGAUUUGCUUAAAAAAGAGCAGAAAUACUGCAGAAGUAUGUGAUAUCACCUGUUAUUUAAACUGCAUAACUUCAAACCGGUGAGAAAAACAAAAAUAUUUACAGUCUUUGCAAUAGAAUUAGCAAAACUGUCCAAAUAAAUGGUCGUAAAAGAACUUAAAACCCGUCCCUUCCAUCAACACCUCUGUUCUAAAAUAACAAACACACAAUACAGUUUAAAUAAUGUUCUUUAUAUAACAACUGUGAUUUAAAUAGCUUUACAUUCUUGAACAUAAUUCCCUGUGUUUGUUAACACGGUGUGUGGCAUUGUGAAAGAAGUGAGUCACAUCUGAGGCACAUCGAGGCACAUAUGACACAUUCACACGUCAGAUAAAACAUGCUAGACGUUACAAACGUCCUAUUUGUGUCACGCAAACAAUGAAAAACAUUUAGGAUUACUUCACAUUCUCUCCGCUCACAACCACAAGAAGUAAGAGUAUGAACUCCACUUUCAAUGCACUUGGUAACAAUAAAGCUUUUGCUUUACAUUGUUUAGAGGAACACGAAGGAGCAUGCAAAUAUAAAGAAGAAUCCCUUGAAAUCAGACAUUUUCUCAUGCAACAUGUUUAAAUCUCUGUGUAUAAUUGGCUGCAG
This is a long non-coding RNA of Cyclopterus lumpus (lumpfish), 3025 nucleotides long. RefSeq lists it as uncharacterized. The transcript is spliced from 2 exons. NCBI's taxonomy places the organism in Eukaryota, Metazoa, Chordata, Actinopteri, Perciformes, Cyclopteridae. The record is from RefSeq and is a predicted model, not a curated record.